RNAcentral lists this transfer RNA (72 nucleotides) under Paludibacteraceae bacterium. RNAcentral describes it as "tRNA-Gln". It matches the Rfam family "tRNA". From Rfam's summary of the family: Transfer RNA (tRNA) molecules are approximately 80 nucleotides in length. Their secondary structure includes four short double-helical elements and three loops (D, anti-codon, and T loops). Lineage: Bacteria; Pseudomonadati; Bacteroidota; Bacteroidia; Bacteroidales; Paludibacteraceae. The record is from RNAcentral.
UGGGGAUUCGUAUAGCGGUUAUUACAUUCGGCUUUGACCCGAAUAACGAUGGUUCGACUCCAUCAUCCCCAG